UAAAUGACAAUAUAUAGUAUAAUUAUUAAGAGUCCCUUUAAUUUUGUCUAUUUUUAUAUUUUUUAGUAUUUAUGUAUGUUGUUGGAAUUUAUGUUUAUUUUGUACAUGGUUUUUUGGUUUUCACGAUAGCGGUCAUCCCGCUACCCGUUAUAGCGCCACUAUCUGAGAUUAACAGCAUAGGUUUUGUUUGUUUUUAUUUCUAGGUUGCCGCUGAUGUAGGCACUAAAACAAUUGAUAUGGUAAAGAGUUUCUAUCAUUUGAAUUGGGUGAGUAUUAUAUGAAU
This 283-nucleotide long non-coding RNA is filed under the name Trifolium pratense (red clover). Its description in RNAcentral is "long non-coding RNA (TPRA_LNC001545)". Lineage: Eukaryota; Viridiplantae; Streptophyta; Magnoliopsida; Fabales; Fabaceae. The record is from RNAcentral.